Molecule: ribosomal RNA, 259 nt
Filed under: Bacillus sp. mrc49
Lineage: Bacteria; Bacillati; Bacillota; Bacilli; Caryophanales; Bacillaceae
Description: partial 16S ribosomal RNA
Rfam family: Bacterial small subunit ribosomal RNA
Source: RNAcentral
UCGGAGAGUUUGAUCCUGGCUCAGGACGAACGCUGGCGGCGUGCCUAAUACAUGCAAGUCGAGCGAAUCGACGGGAGCUUGCUCCCUGAGAUUAGCGGCGGACGGGUGAGUAACACGUGGGCAACCUGCCUAUAAGACUGGGAUAACUUCGGGAAACCGGAGCUAAUACCGGAUACGUUCUUUUCUCGCAUGAGAGAAGAUGGAAAGACGGUUUACGCUGUCACUUAUAGAUGGGCCCGCGGCGCAUUAGCUAGUUGGU